Molecule: RNA transcript, 3339 nt
Organism: Zeugodacus cucurbitae (melon fly)
Lineage: Eukaryota; Metazoa; Arthropoda; Insecta; Diptera; Tephritidae
Gene: Zp3r
Exons: 4
Source: RefSeq, a predicted model, not a curated record
GGUGCUGUAUAUAAUAGCUGUACUCGAUUGGUCACUUCUCUGCGUCAGUGAUACCAAGUUUGUUUUACAUAUUUCGGCAAUUGGUAAAAAUGGCUCUAAGGACAAAUUAUUGUCAAAAAGGACAAUCAAAAUAUAUUUGGUUAUUAUUUUUAACUUGAUAUAAAUAAUAAUUUACUAAAUAAAAUGUAUUAGUAUGUUUACAUAUGAAAAUAAUCCCGAUCUAAGCUCGUUCAAUAAUCUAACCGUUUACAUAGAGCCAAAUGAGAUUAUAAAUUGUCAAAUGUGUUGCAUUUGUUGUUGUAUUCCACAAAUUUCUCUCGCUAUCGGCCAUUUUUGUUCACAUUUUCGUUUGACACACCAAAAAUCUAGUUGUAUAAAUCGAGAUAACAUUAUAAUUUCGGAUUAUCCAGAGAGGAAUUUUGUAUGGGAAAUCUCGUUUCUUAAUUAAAGAUUAUCGUGUUAAGCACGUAAAUGGAGAUAAUCUCGUUAUAUGUAAACAUAAUAUAAGGCAUUCACGCCGCUAGAAACGAAGCGGUAAAAAAAAAACAAUUUUGCGCAGAUUUAUAUUAUUUCCACAAAAGAAAACGAUGCAACACUAUUGCACAUGAUUAAGAGGACAAUUAGCGCAGAGUUGCACCACAAGUGAUGCCAGUUUGUUUGAAUUACUGGAGAGCGUGUUCUAUUGGGUUCUCUAAUUGCAAAACUUAAGUCCUUGGCGUUAUAUAUGUGGCAACCUCCUACAAUUACUACGGCGCUAACUUUACACUACAGCGCAACACUCUAAAUUACAACCCUAGCUUUUAAUCCUUUAUUCCUUUUAUUAUUAUAUUCACAAUUGUACUUAAGCAAGAAUUAGCAAUAAACUCACUCUCUCUAAUUUUGGACGUCAAGCAGUAAGCAGCUUUUAUUUGUUCCCGCGCCUACUCGUACCUACGCAUUCACAUUGGUACAUACUUGUAUACCGCUAUACACUUCUACUGAUCCCCACGCCUGGUGACUUCUACAUAUAUAACCCAAAAUUAUUUAUACACAAAUCUGCGAGGUUUAGGUUGCUGAGACGUUUAACUCACUAAACCGCUGGAUUUAACGAGAUUUCGUCAUACAAAAAUGACACUUUAAAAUCAUUUCUCCAAAGUGAUUUGAAGCUGAACUUCUCUUUGCGCCAUCUGUUGGUCACAUUUGUUUAAUCGCAGCUGAUUUUGACACUACAAACUGUCAAAGUGAAAAAAUAAACACACAAUUUAAAAGGAGAAAAUAACAGACAAAAGGAAAAAACGGAAAUAAUGACACAGUGUCAAAAAAAGAAACGUGUUGUUUGGAGUGAGGCUACCGAGGCCGAUUUAAUUCAACAGUGGUAAGAGAAAAUGCCACUGCUUCGUUCUUCUAGAAAGAACAGCCACAUCUAUGAAGAGAUGUCCAGCGCCAUGAUAUAUGUUGGCCAUAUACAUAUAUACUGCACAGGAGAUCAAAACAAAGAUACAUAACUUUACAAAUAAAUACAGUUUUAGGCAAGAGAAACAAAAAAUUGGACCAUCGGGUGGCUCCCCUAGUACUUGGAAGCUCUACGAAGUGGUUCACCAAGCAGUAGGCGGCUAUAAGAACUUUUCUUCCGCCGAGCUUGUGGAGAACAGCAUCGAGGGAGAUAUAGAGGCGAUUUACCUGGAGGCAGAGAUAGAAGGGGAGUCGCCGCUCCCGAGCCUUGACGCUGACCCAUCUACAUCGGGUAGCUCAACUUGGCCAUCGUCUAACGAAGCUAACAUAAAGAAAAAAACGGCUGUUAUGGUAAUGGAGGAGAUACGUUACGAUUUUUUAAAGGCGACUGAAGUGCAGAACACAUAGAAGACGACAAGCGACGAGCGACAUCUGUCAAAUAUUAAAAUACACGCGUUAUUAUUGGCACAGAUUUUUUGACAACAGCACAACUACACGACAACAGGCUUGUAGUUGUCGUUGUCGCUAAAUUAAAAAUGUUUCUAAUUUUGUCGACGACAAUGGGCAGCUGUAGAGUUGCCACUAAUAUGAGAAAUGUAAAAUUAUUAAAAGUUAUAACAAAUAUGACGUUAUUUCGCCAGCAGAAACGUAAAAGAAUUUUGAUAUAUCAUUUAAAAUAACAAUCGAUUAUUUAAAACAAAUAAAUCGCCAAUUUUUACUUUUUUGCUCAAAUAAUUUCACUUUAAACUAAAUAUGUAAAUUUUAUUGAAGUGAAAGAUUUUAGUACGGCAACAAUGAAAUUGUUGUUUGAUAUGUCGCUGCCGUCUUCAAAAUGUUCAAGACGCUGGCUUCAAAGCGACAUUUGUGAUCAGCCGUCGCUACGUCGUGUCGUGUCGUCGUCUUUGUGCUCAGCACUCGAGGCGAUGAAGGAAGCCGAUGAAAAGCGUCUGGAUAUGUAACAAAUGUAUGUGAACGAUGUCAGGGAAAUGAAGGACGCUUUUAUCGACUUCCUUCGUCGCCAAAACUAGAUUUAAGUAGAAAUUAAGUUUUAGUUUUAAGAUACAUAUGUAAAUAAUGUAAAGAAUGAAUUGUCAAUGAAAAAAUGAAUAUAAGAAAAAGAAUGUAGGAAAAUAUUAAUAUAAAUAAACUUAAAAAAUGUAUAUUAUAUAUAUAUAUAUAAAAUAUAGAAAUAUUUUUUUGUAGUGGAAUAAAUAUUUCAAAUAAUUACGAACCGAAAUAUGAAACAAACGCUUGUCUUAUUUCCUCUGCUCUUGGGUUAACAUUUCCACAAACGUAAGAGACGUUUUCUGGCAACUGUCGAGUUUCGUUUUCGAUUUGUUGUGCUGCAAUCCACUUUUCAUUAAUUUCAUUUAAAUUCAUUUUCAUUUCUUCAUUUAAAAAGUUGUGCAAAACGCCGCACGCUUUGAUGACAGCUCUCGUGUGAACCAUGUGGUUAUCCAAGCCUUUGCCAACGCGUCUAAACCUUGCCUUUAAAUGACCGAAAGCAUUCUCCACCACUCUUCGACAUUUCGAUAGAACAUAGUUAAAUUUUUUUUAUCCAAAGGUUGGUUUACACAAAAAGGGUAGGGUUUCAUUAAAUGUUCAGUUUGAACGCAGAGUCGCCCAAUAAAACUACUGGAACAUUAACUGACGAAAUUUGUCUACUCAGGUCUUUAAAUAAACUAGAUUGUGCCAACUGGCUUUUUAAAGAUGAACUCUCAAAUAUUGAAGUGCCAUUACAACGGCCUGGACUAACAACGUUGAUGUAUAUAAAGCGUCAUCUAUAACAUUACAGAUAUACAUUAGGUGUUAAAAGAGCUUCAUGAAAAAACUUACCUUGCAUCUACUAAGGCCAAAAGAACUGUGGAUUACCAGCCUUUAUAAUUGCAGUAGUCAACAGCAUCUUCU